This 648-nucleotide long non-coding RNA is filed under the name Equus caballus (horse). RNAcentral's name for it is "lncRNA (ENSECAG00000059424.1)". The record is from RNAcentral. Lineage: Eukaryota; Metazoa; Chordata; Mammalia; Perissodactyla; Equidae.
GUCAGUUGGGCACCUUCUUCCUCUCUCCCUUCCCGCUUAUUCUGAGUGGCGGGGAUUAGCGGUGUUUGCCCCUGGAUAAAAUCUGAGAAGCCCUCCCUGGAGGGUGAAUAAUCGGCCACAGGAGGACUAGAGCUCCUCAGAGAAUCACCCCACCUUGGAGAAGCUGAGCAGAGCUGGUGGUGACUCCUCUGGAAUUCCACGGCAGAUACGGAGGGAAGGAAAAAGGACCAUGUGUCUAAAAACCCUAAUGGGAUCCACCCCAAAUUUUGGCAACAAGAUGGGGGAGGUCACCAGCCUUCCUGACUUCUUCCUGCCUAGAAUGAAACGUGGCCGUUGGAAUGCCCUGCCAACUUCACAUAGCACACAAGGAUCAGAUGUAUUUUACCGUUGAGAAGAAGGAAAAGGAGACUGAGUCAUGUACUGGAUCAACCGUGUCCUCUCAAAACGCUGGUGGGGAAGCACACAUGGUUACCCAGAAACUACAAAUUGUGUACUUGAAAUCAACAAAAAAAGUACCUAGGCCUACUUUCCUUCUGCCUGACGUACAUCCUUUAGAAUUUUCUUUAGCAAAUGCCCGUUGGUAGCAAACCUGCCCUUCAUUUGUCUGAAAAUGACUUUAUUUGGCCUUUGCCCUUAAAAUAUAUCUUC